GCCAGUGUGACUCAUGUUGGCUGAGUACCGGUUUUGUAAACCGGUUGACGCAGGUUCGAUUCCUGCCACUGGCUCAA
Molecule: transfer RNA, 77 nt
Filed under: Planctomycetota bacterium
Lineage: Bacteria; Pseudomonadati; Planctomycetota
Description: Planctomycetes bacterium tRNA-Thr
Rfam family: tRNA
About the family: Transfer RNA (tRNA) molecules are approximately 80 nucleotides in length. Their secondary structure includes four short double-helical elements and three loops (D, anti-codon, and T loops).
Source: RNAcentral